GGACUGUACUGCUGCCAUCUCGGCUCACUGCAACCUCCUUGCCUGAUUCUCCUGCCUCAGCCUGCCAAGUGCCUGCAAUUGCAGGCGCGCGCCGCCACGCCUGACUGGUUUUCGUAUUUUUUUGGUGGAGACGGGGUUUCGCUGUGUUGGCCGGGCUGGUCUCCAGCUCCUAGCCGCGAGUGAUCCGCCAGCCUCGGCCUCCCGGGGUGCCGGGAUUGCAGACGGAGUCUGGUUCACUCAGUGCUCAAUGGUGCCCAGGCUGGAGUGCAGUGGCAUGAUCUCGGCUCGCUACAACCUCCACCUCCCAGCCGCCUGCCUUGGCCUCCCAAAGUGCCGAGAUUGCAGCCUCUGCCCGGCCGCCACCCCGUCUGGGAAGUGAGGAGCGUCUCUGCCUGGCCGCCCAUCGUCUGGGACGUGAGGAGCCCCUCUGCCUGGCUGCUCAGUCUGGAAAGUGAGGAGCAUCUCUGCCCGGCCGCCAUCCCAUCUAGGAAGUGAGGAGCGCCUCUUCCCGGCCGCCAUCCUAUCUAGGAAGUGAGGAGCGUCUCUGCCCGGCCGCCCAUCGUCUGAGAUGUGGGGAGAGCCUCUACCCCGCCGCCCCGCCUGGGAUGUGAGGAGCGCCUCUACCCGGCCGCGACCCCAUCUGGGAGGUGAGGAGCGUCUCUGCCCGGCCGCCCCGUCUGAGAAGUGAGGAGACCCUCCGCCUGGCAACCGCCCGUCUGAGAAGUGAGGAGCCCCUCCGCCCGGCAGCUGCCCCGUCUGAGAAGUGAAGAGCCCCUCCACCCGGCAGUCACCCCGUCUGGGAAGUGAGGAGCGUCUCCACCCAGCAGCCACCCCAUCCGGGAGGGAGGUGGGGGUCAGCCCCCGCUAGGCCAGCCGCCCCGUCCGGGAGGGAGGUGGGGGGGUCAGCCCCCCGCCCGGCCAGCCGCCCCGUCC
Molecule: long non-coding RNA, 933 nt
Filed under: Homo sapiens (human)
Lineage: Eukaryota; Metazoa; Chordata; Mammalia; Primates; Hominidae
Description: lncAB257.1
Source: RNAcentral